AUUGAACGCUGGCGGCAGGCCUAACACAUGCAAGUCGAGCGGAUGAAGGGAGCUUGCUCCUGGAUUCAGCGGCGGACGGGUGAGUAAUGCCUAGGAAUCUGCCUGGUAGUGGGGGAUAACGUCCGGAAACGGGCGCUAAUACCGCAUACGUCCUGAGGGAGAAAGUGGGGGAUCUUCGGACCUCACGCUCUCAGAUGAGCCUAGGUCGGAUUAGCUAGUUGGUGGGGUAAAGGCCUACCAAGGCGACGAUCCGUAACUGGUCUGAGAGGAUGAUCAGUCACACUGGAACUGAGACACGGUCCAGACUCCUACGGGAGGCAGCAGUGGGGAAUAUUGGACAAUGGGCGAAAGCCUGAUCCAGCCAUGCCGCGUGUGUGAAGAAGGUCUUCGGAUUGUAAAGCACUUUAAGUUGGGAGGAAGGGCAGUAAGUUAAUACCUCGCUGUUUUGACGGUACCAACAGAAUAAGCACCGGCUAACUUCGUG
This 484-nucleotide ribosomal RNA is filed under the name uncultured bacterium. RNAcentral's name for it is "partial 16S ribosomal RNA". It matches the Rfam family "Bacterial small subunit ribosomal RNA", at positions 30 to 507 of the family's 1533-position model. The record is from RNAcentral.